UCGAGCCCCGCAUCGGGCUCUGUGCUGACAGCUCAGAGCCUGGAGCCUGCUUCGGAUCCUGUGUCUCUGCCCCUCCCCCGCUCACACUCUGUCUCUCUGUCUCAAAAAUAAACAUUAAAAAAAAAGAAACUAUUUUUUUGAACCAGAACAGGUAUAAUUCUACCGUGUGACCACAACGUAGUAUUCCUUCACAAGUAGUAUUAGUGAGGAUAGACCAUUUCACCACCAACAACUAGGUAGCAUUGAUUAUAGAAAUAUGUAGCGAGGACCUGAAUUAAUGGGUUUGCCAGUGCCUCUUGCCUUCUGUGAGCCAGGCACUCCUAAUCCAAGUUUUUUAUGUCCAUAAGCAGCCAUUCGGGGAGGUCAUGCCUGUUGCCAAAUGAAAGAGUUGUCUGGGAUUAUGGAACCCCUUCUCCUUCUCUGCUUUUGUGUUCCUCUCGUUGCAGCUCGCCAGUGCCCUGCUUCCUUCCUAAGAGGUGAGCAGGGACAGGCAGGACCAGAGAUUGUCAUCUGUUCAGCUAGAGAGGAUCAGAGCAGGUUAUGACAACCUCGGGUAUUUUAAGCCUCCAGAUUUUUGCAGGGUGUGUGAGUAUGUAUGUGUGGGUCGGUGUAUAUACACAGUGUAACUAAGCAUGAGCGAAUGGUGAUCUCUCCGUUUUUAUGGUAGGAAGUGGAGCAUGUAGGGAUGAAGUCAGGGGCUGCAGAGCAGAGACACAGGCUGAUUUAGGUAGUGAUUGCUACUGGGAAUAGAAUGAGGGGCUCCUGCCUCCUUUGGGUAAUAUCGUUUUCUUAGGCCAUCCUCCCAUCCACAAAGUACGACUCUGAAGUAGGUCUGCGUAUAACUGUUUUUUGUGGCAAUGUAAAUAGUUCUGACCUUAAGUAUUUGGAAGUGAGGACUCAUGCCCUUCUCCCAGAAUAUAAAUUUGACUCGGUAGGGCUAAAAACAAUUACAGCCUAAUGUAAGAAACUGUUCAGCCGACUUUGUUCAGAUGUCAGCCAAAUUAGAGCUUUGCGUGGUGGGGCACGCUCUGUUGGCUGUGCUCUAUUAGGGAAAGCAAAAAUAGAAAGCUUUUUCUCUAGACUUGAGAACGCAAUCAAUGUAUGCUCAUUAAGAGCAUCGGUGGCACAUGGCCACGAAAGUUGGAAUCGCAGCUUUACCGAGGGGUGCUGGUGUCCCGAGAACACAGAAUUUGCAAGGAAACGGAGUGCUCCCGUUGGUCCUGAAGCCAUCGAAACAGCAGACGCUAGACCUAAAGCCUCGUGUGGUGAUUUGUAAGUGGCCAUGCUAACAACAUGUGCAAUGUGCCGGGCACUCCUGCAACCCUGACUCUGGAGAAAAGGGUGUCUGGUGGGGUGGCUCGCCUGGUGCUUCCCUUGAGAGGACGCUGGCGUCCCACCCCUACUUUCUGCGCCCCUGAAACUGGGCUCUGCGGAAGUGUUUUUGAGGAGCGUUCAGUCCUUCCCAGGGAUGUACUUGGUGACUGGGAGUUUACACUUCAGCUUCAACUGUUCCCGGAGAAGAAUAGUUUUUCUCUGUCACUGAGGCCUUACCGAGAACAGAGGACUAGGUGAUUGUUCUUGAAGGCUCAAAUGCCAGAAAACCUUGUGUUAUGGGAGGCAUCGAAGCUUCCUAUUUUCCAUUCACCUUAGUUUAACAUUACUGCUAGUGUUAUGCUCAGGUUAACUUCCUGUAUUUGUUUUUAUUUGCAGUGCAUUCUUUAGUUAAAGUGUUACUUCGUGAAUGGAAAGAGAAAAAAUAAAAGCCAGGGGCAGGGGUAUAACGUGGAAGAAUAGGGUUUUGUUUCCAGUCCUGUUUUGCAACAGUAGGUUAAGCACUUUAAACUUGCUCUUCCCUGGUUGGUGAACAAGACGCUGAAACUCCAUGUCAUGCCACUACAUGGUGUAAUGCAUUUGGUUAAACUGCCAGGCACAUCCGUCAUCUUGUCUACACCGCAGUUCCACUCGCAGAGUUGGAGAGGCUGUUUGGGGACAUCCAGACCUCACUUUUCAGAGCAGUCUGCACUGAUCCGUGUAUUCUUAAAGCAGUUGUGUUCAUAUAUGUCAGAGGCCCGGUGUCCUUCCCACUUGCCAGUGUACUUCUCAUUUAAAUGGCAGAAACGUUGCAAAUAUUAAGGACCGGAAGGAUACUAACCCUCAGUGUUUGGGAUCAGACAACAAAAUCUAAUUCCUAUUCAUCAGACACCCAAGUCUAAGUCGUAGCACAAAUGAAAAGGGCAGCUUCUUUUUGAGAGAGUUGGGAAUCCUAAAAAUAAGCAAAGCUUAAUAAAAAGGGAAAGAAAAACGUUCUUGUCAUUUUUGUAAUUCAUCUGGCUCUGGAAUUUUCUCCCAAGCCCUCGAGGCAAAUUUCCAUUCAUGGCCCUAGGUAAGAUUCUGGAUCAUGAAGCCAAGAAGGUUAUUCUAAAGAAAAGCUGAUGGGCUGUAGGCGAUUCAUUGCCAGAGCGGUAAAACCAUCCAUGGACUUGUUGGAGUAUAUCUGGGACUUGCUAGAAGGGGUGGCUGGUUUGGAGAAGGAGCAAAGGCAAGUUCUGUUGACCUUACACUGGUGCUGAAGGGUUAGGUGGGUGGUUGUACGGUGUGGUGGCCUGGGAAUUCAGAGUCCUCGGAUAUCAUUUUUGUGUGUAAACUCUGUGUCUUUGGACAUUUCAGCUCUCUGGUCCUGCCGUCUCGUCUUUAAAAUGAGGUGCUGGAUUAAGUGACCUUUAAAGUCUCUUCCAGUUUAAAAAUUGUGUUAUCAUUUGGAAAUACACUGUCAGGAAAACAUCAGUGCCAAAGCCUGCCUCUCUAAUAAGGGAAGUAUUUUCAGGUUCUCCACUUUUGUGUGUGGAAGCCAACAUCACCCUGUGUUGGACAAAAGUAGUUCUGUGGACAUUUAAUUCUUUGUGAGAAGGAAAUGAAACUGGAUGACUUACUUUUAAGCCUGACUGGCUCUUGAGAAAAUGGAGAGGAGAGUCACUCCCUCAAAACGGCUAACAGGUUGAGCUGCGUGUAAAUUGGCGUUAUCAUCCUCUCUUUGAAGAACAGGAAGGCUGCUGUUACGAUAAAUGUGCUGGAAAUCAUUAAGGAUGAGAGGACGGUGGGACACAAGUGGCCACUCCAAGCCGUUUGCUGUCAGGUGGGACACCGGGUGGGCCCAGGUGAAAGACAGACAAGCGAAGGGAUUAGCCAUGGCCACCUGGGCCUCCCUUCUGCGAAACAGCAGACCCAGGGGGUGUUUCCGAGCGGUCCAGGUAUACAGGCGUCUUCUCUCCCCUUUUAUAAGCGGGACGGAGGAAAACACGCCAACAUGGGGGGGGGGGGUAUUUGUGUAUCUGUUUGUGCCUGCUUACGUCAUACCAAACAUGCUCCCCUCUCGGUGUCUUGGAGAUUCUUUUCUUAAGCAUGAAUGUGUCAGGAAAUCGAGGCCAUUCGGCUCUAUGGGUGACACCACGUAUUGACUAGUAUAGUCAUAAUUUGACUUUAGAUGACUGCUAUUUGAAGUGGUUGAGAAUGAAAAUAUCCCAUUUGCCAUUUACGAUAAGGCAGAAUUUUAGUCGAUCCAUGUACUCUGAAGGUCUAGAAUGUGCAGGGAAUUUGCCGUAAAAUUGUUUCAUACACAUGCAGUGGGGCGUCUUCAUUCAGGGAGUUAGUACACGACAAUUGCAAAUAUGGAUUGUUUUCAUUUCUUAGUAUAUAACCAUUAGCUUUCUUACCAACAAUGAAUUUAUAUUCUAUUUCCUAUUUCUACCUUUUAAGAAAAUCCUUUCUACUUCUGAGAAUCUUUAUCUCUCAACACAUUGCUAACCAGUUUAUUGGAAACAGAAACCCCCAACCCUGUGUCUGUCCCUUCCAGGGACAAUAAAAUACGUUUUUUGUCAAUGCAUGAAAGUAAAACAAGAUAACAAUCACUUGUAAUCUCACCAACUCCGUGAGAGUUGAAAGGCCAGUGGUAGGUUUUGAGCCAAGGAAAUUUUAAAUGAAAUAUUUUUAAAAGACCCCGGACGGUGUAUGGGGAUAGGUUAGGGUGGAUGCAGGGAGAUGACUUAGGACCCUUGCAGGAGUCCAGGCAAGAAACGAUGGUACCUUAGACUGUGUACUGGCAGAGGCACUGGAGAGAUACGGUCACAUUCUGGCUCUGUUUGGAAGACAGAGCAAAAGGGUUUGCUGAUGGGUUGGCUUUGGGUUAUGAGAGAAAGAAGUGUAGAGAGACCAAGGUUUCGGGCCUGAACAACCAGGAUGAUGGAGUUGCCAUUCAUCAAAGUGGGAAAGACGGGGAGAAGGGGAAAUCCUGAGGGGAAAAAAUAGAAAGUUAAGUAUUGAACCUAUUUUUUACUAUGAUCGCUAUGAAAAGCUGUUAUUGUCUCAUUGAAUCUUCCCAAAGCCUUUCCAUAGCCAUAACUGUGCUUUUAUUAAUAAGUCUUGGGGCAACACUAAGCUUAAGCUAUGGAAACAUUAAAUCAAGGAAUAUGGCACCUGGGUGGCUCAGUUGUUAAGUGUCCGACUUUGGCUCAGGUCAUGGUCUCACGGUUUAUGGGUUCGGGCCCCGCAUCAGGCUCUGUGCUGAUGGUCAGCGCCUGGAGCCUGCUUUUCAGAUUCUGUAUCUCCCUCUCUCUCUGCCCCUCCCCUGCUUGUACGCGCGCGCUCUCUCUCUCUCUC
Neofelis nebulosa (Clouded leopard) is the source of this 4653-nucleotide long non-coding RNA. RefSeq lists it as uncharacterized. The transcript is spliced from 3 exons. Lineage: Eukaryota; Metazoa; Chordata; Mammalia; Carnivora; Felidae. The record is from RefSeq and is a predicted model, not a curated record.